Cynoglossus semilaevis (tongue sole) is the source of this 708-nucleotide long non-coding RNA. RefSeq lists it as uncharacterized. The transcript has 2 exons. The record is from RefSeq and is a predicted model, not a curated record. NCBI's taxonomy places the organism in Eukaryota, Metazoa, Chordata, Actinopteri, Pleuronectiformes, Cynoglossidae.
UCAGCAAAUAGCUUCAGCGAUAGUGCUAUGAGACGAUCACUCAAUAGCCAAUCAGAGAUCUCGACACAGCACCACACACAAAGUAGAGCCAGUCAGAACUCUGCGCCACUCAACACACCUAAUUUAAUGACGUCGACCACUUUACUUAAUUACACGCAACGAAAAGGAAGUAAACGCUUAAUUAAAAAAGACGAAUUGUUUAAUUUACAAGAAAAAGCAAGUAUCGCUACAGCAAAGUUUCAACAAGACGCUCGGCUGAGGCGAGAGCGGCAUAUCCAUGUUGGGGAAAGUGAGUGACCACCUCUUCUGGAAAUAAUCCGGACUCCUUCAGGCCCUUGGGCGGUGAGAGCUGAAACACAAGUGUCACCUGACCAUACUGUCUUUUUUCACGUUAGGUUAUGUGUAAUGUAGCUGGCACAGUGCAACAGUACAAAAAGAGGUUUGUUUUGCAGUGACUGGCUUUCUGUAAAGUCUGAGUCUCGUGGCGAGUACGGCAUGUGUCAGCCUUUCUCCCCCACAAUUGUUCCUGCAUGCCUGCAGUGAGAGUGAGGGUGGGGGGCGUGAGGAAAUCUUGACUUUUUUGUUUUGUUUUGAAGGGGGGAGUUAUUUUGAUUGUCUUUACCUAUCAGGUGUAAAUUUCCAGGCACUCAGUUCAUUUUGGGCCUGCUCCAGUUUGUCUUUAGUCUGUUCCAGUUCACCCUUCAUUUU